This 459-nucleotide ribosomal RNA is filed under the name uncultured bacterium. Its description in RNAcentral is "partial 16S ribosomal RNA". It matches the Rfam family "Bacterial small subunit ribosomal RNA", at positions 338 to 795 of the family's 1533-position model. The record is from RNAcentral.
CCUACGGGAGGCUGCAGUGAGGAAUAUUGGUCAAUGGGCGCGAGCCUAAACCAGCCAAGUCGCGUGAGGGAAGACGGCCCUAUGGAUUGUAAACCUCUUUUGUCGGGGAGCAAAAGACGCCACGCGUGGCGUUCCGAGAGUACCCGAAGAAAAAGCAUCGGCUAACUCCGUGCCAGCAGCCGCGGUAAUAGGGGGGAUGCGCGCGUUAUCCGGAUUUAUUGGGGUAAAAGGGUGCGCAGGCGGAAGAUCAAGUCAGUGGUAAAAUCGCGAGGCUAAACCUCUGCCAGCCGUUGAAACUGGUUUGCUUGAGGGAGCGAGAGGUAUGCGGAAUGCGUGGGGUAGCGGUGAAAUGCAUAGAUAUCACGCAGAACUCCGGUGGCGAAGGCAGCAUACCGGCGCGCAACUGACGCUCAGGCACGAAAGUGUGGGUAUCGAACAGGAUUAGAUACCCUGGUAGUC